UACGUAGGGGGCAAGCGUUGUCCGGAUUUAUUGGGCGUAAAGAGCGUGUAGGCGGCCAAGCAGGUCCGCUGUGAAAACUCGAGGCUCAACCUCGAGACGUCGGUGGAAACCGUUUGGCUAGAGUCCGGAAGAGGAGAGUGGAAUUCCCGGUGUAGCGGUGAAAUGGGCAGAUAUCGGGAAGAACACCCGUGGCGAAGGCGGCUCUCUGGGACGGUACUGACGCUGAGACGCGAAAGCGUGGGGAGCGAACAGG
This 253-nucleotide ribosomal RNA is filed under the name uncultured bacterium. Its description in RNAcentral is "partial 16S ribosomal RNA". It matches the Rfam family "Bacterial small subunit ribosomal RNA", at positions 524 to 776 of the family's 1533-position model. The record is from RNAcentral.